GCCCAGGUAGCUCAGCUGGUAGAGCAACGGACUGAAAAUCCGUGUGUCGGUGGUUCAACUCCGCCCCUGGGCACCA
Molecule: transfer RNA, 76 nt
Filed under: Alphaproteobacteria bacterium
Lineage: Bacteria; Pseudomonadati; Pseudomonadota; Alphaproteobacteria
Also listed under: 3 other names
Description: tRNA-Phe
Rfam family: tRNA
About the family: Transfer RNA (tRNA) molecules are approximately 80 nucleotides in length.
Source: RNAcentral